This 497-nucleotide ribosomal RNA is filed under the name uncultured bacterium. RNAcentral describes it as "partial 16S ribosomal RNA". It matches the Rfam family "Bacterial small subunit ribosomal RNA", at positions 28 to 507 of the family's 1533-position model. The record is from RNAcentral.
GAUGAACGCUGGCGGCGUGCCUAAUACAUGCCAGUCGAGCGAACAGAUGAGAAGCUUGCUCCUCUGACGUUAGCGGCGGACGGGUGAGUAACACGUGGAUAACCUACCUAUAAGACUGGGAUAACUUCGGGAAACCGGAGCUAAUACCGGAUAAUAUAUUGAACCGCAUGGUUCAAUAGUGAAAGACGGUUUUGCUGUCACUUAUAGAUGGAUCCGCGCUGCAUUAGCUAGUUGGUAAGGUAACGGCUUACCAAGGCAACGAUGCGUAGCCGACCUGAGAGGGUGAUCGGCCACACUGGAACUGAGACACGGUCCAGACUCCUACGGGAGGCAGCAGUAGGGAAUCUUCCGCAAUGGGCGAAAGCCUGACGGAGCAACGCCGCGUGAGUGAUGAAGGUCUUCGGAUCGUAAAACUCUGUUAUUAGGGAAGAACAAAUGUGUAAGUAACUAUGCACGUCUUGACGGUACCUAAUCAGAAAGCCACGGCUAACUACGUG